This 250-nucleotide ribosomal RNA is filed under the name uncultured bacterium. RNAcentral describes it as "partial 16S ribosomal RNA". It matches the Rfam family "Bacterial small subunit ribosomal RNA", at positions 524 to 773 of the family's 1533-position model. The record is from RNAcentral.
UACAGAGGGUGCAAGCGUUAAUCGGAAUUACUGGGCGUAAAGCGUGCGCAGGCGGUUUUGUAAGACAGGUGUGAAAUCCCCGGGCUUAACCUGGGAACUGCGCUUGUGACUGCAAGACUCGAGUACGGCAGAGGGGGGUGGAAUUCCACGUGUAGCAGUGAAAUGCGUAGAGAUGUGGAGGAACACCGAUGGCGAAGGCAGCCCCCUGGGUCGAUACUGACGCUCAUGCACGAAAGCGUGGGGAGCAAAC